GUGAACGCUGGCGGUAGGCCUAACACAUGCAAGUCGAACGGCAGCACAGUAAGAGCUUGCUCUUACGGGUGGCGAGUGGCGGACGGGUGAGGAAUACAUCGGCAUCUACUUUUUCGUGGGGGAUAAUGUAGGGAAACUUACGCUAAUACCGCAUACGACCUACGGGUGAAAGCAGGGGAUCUUCGGACCUUGCGCGAUUGAAUGAGCCGAUGUCGGAUUAGCUAGUUGGCGGGGUAAAGGCCCACCAAGGCGACGAUCCGUAGCUGGUCUGAGAGGAUGAUCAGCCACACUGGAACUGAGACACGGUCCAGACGCCUACGGGAGGCGGCAGUGGGGAAUAUUGGACAAUGGGCGCAAGCCUGAUCCAGCCAUACCGCGUGGGUGAAGAAGGCCUUCGGGUUGUAAAGCCCUUUUGUUGGGAAAGAAAAGCAGCAGGUUAAUACCCCGCUGUUCUGACGGUACCCAAAGAAUAAGCACCGGCUAACUUCGUG
This 491-nucleotide ribosomal RNA is filed under the name uncultured bacterium. Its description in RNAcentral is "partial 16S ribosomal RNA". It matches the Rfam family "Bacterial small subunit ribosomal RNA", at positions 29 to 507 of the family's 1533-position model. The record is from RNAcentral.